AAUGAACGCUGGCGGCAUGCCUAACACAUGCCAGUCGAACGAAACUUCUUUAUCACCUAGUGCUUGCGCUCGUCGAUAGAGGGUUGAGUGGCGAACGGUUGAGAAACACCUUUGCAACCUGCCCUAAUGAGGGGGAAAAUACUCGGACACAGGAUCUAAUACCGCAUAAUCAUCGUUACUGCAUGGUAACUAUGUAAAAGGUAGCAGUCCUACCACUCUUCGAUGGGCCGCCGGCGCAUUAGCUAGCUGGUCGGGUAUAGGCUUACGAAGGCAAUGAGGCGGAGCGGAAAUGAGAGGGAGAUUGGCCACAUUGGGACUGAGACAGGGCCGAAACUCCGACGGGAGGCAGCAGUAGGGAAUCCUACACAAGGGGCGAAAGCCUGAUGGAGCAACGCCGCGGGGGUGAAGAAGGUCUUCGGAUGGUAAAGCCCUGUUGUUAGUAAAGAAAUAGAGCGGGAUUACCCGGGCAGGUUUUGACGGUACCUAAAGAAAAAGCACCGGCUAACUACGUG
This 512-nucleotide ribosomal RNA is filed under the name uncultured bacterium. RNAcentral describes it as "partial 16S ribosomal RNA". It matches the Rfam family "Bacterial small subunit ribosomal RNA", at positions 29 to 507 of the family's 1533-position model. The record is from RNAcentral.